AUUUUCGUGGUGUAAAACGCACAUUAGAUUUUCAUUCUAAAAGAAUAGAUACUAUCGAAAAUA
RNAcentral lists this transfer RNA (63 nucleotides) under Pygmaeconus traillii. Its description in RNAcentral is "tRNA-Glu". The record is from RNAcentral. Lineage: Eukaryota; Metazoa; Mollusca; Gastropoda; Neogastropoda; Conidae.